This 57-nucleotide transfer RNA is filed under the name Acalypha radula. Its description in RNAcentral is "partial tRNA-Leu". The record is from RNAcentral. Lineage: Eukaryota; Viridiplantae; Streptophyta; Magnoliopsida; Malpighiales; Euphorbiaceae.
GACUUAAAAAAUCCGUCGACUUUAGAAAUCGUGAGGGUUCAAGUCCCUCUAUCCCCC